RNAcentral lists this ribosomal RNA (450 nucleotides) under uncultured bacterium. RNAcentral describes it as "partial 16S ribosomal RNA". It matches the Rfam family "Bacterial small subunit ribosomal RNA", at positions 354 to 796 of the family's 1533-position model. The record is from RNAcentral.
GUAAGGAGUUUUCGGCAAUGGGGGGAACCCUGACCGAGCAACGCCGCGUGAGUGAUGACGGCCCUAUGGGUUGUAAAGCUCUGUUAUAAGGGACGAACAGCUUUGCUAGGAAAUGAGCAGAGUCUGACGGUACUUUAUCAGAAAGCCACGGCUAACUACGUGCCAGCAGCCGCGGUAAUACGUAGGUGGCAAGCGUUAUCCGGAAUUAUUGGGCGUAAAGAGUGAGCAGGCGGCAGAUUAAGUUUGAGGUUAAAGCGUGGGGCUCAACCCCAUAAAGCCUUGAAAACUGAUCAGCUAGAGUACGAGAGAUGUGAAGGGAACUUCAUGUGUAGCGGUGAAAUGCGUAGAUAUAUGGAAGAACACCAGUGGCGAAGGCGCUUCACAAGCUCGAAACUGACGCUCAGUCACGAAAGCGUGGGUAGCAAAUAGGAUUAGAAACCCCAGUAGUCC